Chionomys nivalis (European snow vole) is the source of this 1194-nucleotide long non-coding RNA. RefSeq lists it as uncharacterized. The transcript has 5 exons. NCBI's taxonomy places the organism in Eukaryota, Metazoa, Chordata, Mammalia, Rodentia, Cricetidae. The record is from RefSeq and is a predicted model, not a curated record.
GUUCUUAUUUUGAAAGCCGAGGCGGCUGCCCAGCGGGAGCGCAUCAUUCCUCAGCUUUUCCGUUUCUGGCAGCGGUGGGAGGCUCAGCCCAUCAGUCGGUCCGGAGGAGCUUGUGGGAGGGGUUGGUUGACUGGUUUGGGAUAUACGGGCUGAUUUUGGAUUUUUUGUUGGUGUUGCUUGGGAGUACUGGUUAAGGGACAGGUUAGAACAAAUUCUAAACGAGUUAGCGAACGAAUUCUGCUGGCAUCUGCCUUUACCCCCGACUAACUGCGGCUCUGGCCAAGGACUGACUGCAGGAACCACAUUCGGGUCCUGCCGCCGUGUGCCAGCUUCGUUAAGGCUGAAAUUUGAAAACGGGAAAACCGGUGCGAUAAACUGGAGGACCCUAGAGCCGACAUGGGUCACCCGCAGAGGAUGAGGAUGGCGGCGCUGGUCACAAGGACUAGUGUCCCUUCUUUGCGCGCCUAUCUGGGGCCACUACUGAAGGGACCUGCCAGCUGCCGCCCCGGGGGUCUCCCAGCAUGGAGCGCCUCUCUGCGGACCUCGUUUCUGUUGAGCCCGGAGCUCAACCACAGAUGUCCAGCCACAAUUCUCGGUUGGCCGCAGACUCGUACAAGAAUUGCGUUUGGACAAUCAGUGGCGAAGCCCCUGAGUUCAGGACCCCGAUUUCCUGCGGGGUUCUGCCUGGCUCCUUAAAAGCGCACACCAGAUCUUGGGAGCUGCGCGUCGGAAUACCUUGCAGAAGCUCAUCAGUCGCAGCUCAUCCCGCGGGUUUCUCUGUGUAGCAAUUCUGGCUGUCCUGGAAUUCACUCUGUAGCCCAGACAUGCUGUGACUAAAGGGUUUCUCUGCAGCUUUGGAGUCUGUCCUGGAACUCACUCUGUAGGCCAAGCUGGCCUCAGACUCACAGAGAUCCACCUGUCUCUGCCUCCAGAGUCCUGGGAUUAAAGGACCAUUGGCCCGAAAAUAGCCCACCAGGAAGCCGUAACCAGAGCUAGGCUAGAGAUCUGACUCCAGGGUUCAGCCCCCAGGAUGCAGUUCGUCACCAGGGCCGGAGCGUGGAAGGUGAUGAGAAGACGCGCCCAGAUCAGCGGCACCCGGUCCCCGCCCCAGCCGGGCUUGCUCUCCAGCCCAUCGCGUCAUCUGGAGGGUAUGUGGAGGUCCCGCAUGGGGCCGCCAGAGGGCGCUGCAGACAG